RNAcentral lists this ribosomal RNA (497 nucleotides) under uncultured bacterium. RNAcentral's name for it is "partial 16S ribosomal RNA". It matches the Rfam family "Bacterial small subunit ribosomal RNA", at positions 28 to 507 of the family's 1533-position model. The record is from RNAcentral.
GAUGAACGCUGGCGGCGUGCCUAAUACAUGCAAGUCGAGCGAACAGACGAGGAGCUUGCUCCUUCGACGUUAGCGGCGGACGGGUGGGUAACACGUAGGUAACCUACCUAUAAGACUGGGAUAACUUCGGGAAACCGGAGCUAAUACCGGAUAAUAUUUCGAACCGCAUGGUUCGAUAGUGAAAGAUGGCUUUGCUAUCACUUAUAGAUGGACCUGCGCCGUAUUAGCUAGUUGGUAAGGUAACGGCUUACCAAGGCAACGAUACGUAGCCGACCUGAGAGGGUGAUCGGCCACACUGGAACUGAGACACGGUCCAGACUCCUACGGGAGGCAGCAGUAGGGAAUCUUCCGCAAUGGGCGAAAGCCUGACGGAGCAACGCCGCGUGAGUGAUGAAGGUCUUCGGAUCGUAAAACUCUGUUAUUAGGGAAGAACAAACGUGUAAGUAACUGUGCACGUCCUGACGGUACCUAAUCAGAAAGCCACGGCUAACUACGUG